Molecule: ribosomal RNA, 419 nt
Filed under: Pseudomonas graminis
Lineage: Bacteria; Pseudomonadati; Pseudomonadota; Gammaproteobacteria; Pseudomonadales; Pseudomonadaceae
Description: bacterial SSU rRNA
Rfam family: Bacterial small subunit ribosomal RNA
Source: RNAcentral
GGGAAUCUUCCGCAAUGGGCGAAAGCCUGACGGAGCAACGCCGCGUGAGUGAUGAAGGUCUUCGGAUCGUAAAACUCUGUUAUUAGGGAAGAACAAAUGUGUAAGUAACUAUGCACGUCUUGACGGUACCUAAUCAGAAAGCCACGGCUAACUACGUGCCAGCAGCCGCGGUAAUACGUAGGUGGCAAGCGUUAUCCGGAAUUAUUGGGCGUAAAGCGCGCGUAGGCGGUUUUUUAAGUCUGAUGUGAAAGCCCACGGCUCAACCGUGGAGGGUCAUUGGAAACUGGAAAACUUGAGUGCAGAAGAGGAAAGUGGAAUUCCAUGUGUAGCGGUGAAAUGCGCAGAGAUAUGGAGGAACACCAGUGGCGAAGGCGACUUUCUGGUCUGUAACUGACGCUGAUGUGCGAAAGCGUGGGGAU